AGCUCCAAUAGCGUAUAUUAAAAUUGUUGCAGUUAAAAAGCUCGUAGUUGGAUUUCUGGCUUGGUGCGCGCCGUCCGCUGCGGUUACGUAGUGUGUGCGGUUGUGCGCCUGCCAUCUUUCUAGACAUCAUGCUGCGCCCUUCACUGGGUGGCAGGUGGUGGCUGGAUCUUUUACUUUGAAAAAAUUAGAGUGUUCAAAGCAGGCUUGCGCUAUGAAUACAUUAGCAUGGAAUAAUAAUUUAGGACUUCUGUUCUAUUUUGUUGGUUUCUAGGAUGGAAGUAAUGAUUGAUAGGGAUAGUUGGGGGUGCUAGUAUUCAGCGGCCAGAGGUGAAAUUCUCGGAUUCGCUGAAGACUAACUUAUGCGAAAGCAUUCACCAAGGAUGUCUUCU
Molecule: ribosomal RNA, 389 nt
Filed under: uncultured eukaryote
Lineage: Eukaryota
Description: SSU rRNA
Rfam family: Eukaryotic small subunit ribosomal RNA
Source: RNAcentral